UACAUAGCUUAAUGAGGGGAACUCAGGGAACUGAAACAUCUAAGUACCUGAAGGAAGAGAAAGAAAUUCGAUUCCGUAAGUAGCGGCGAGCGAACGCGGAUUAGCCCAAACCAAUAAAGUUUUCUUUAUUGGGGUUGCGGACAUAUCAUAACGAAGAGGUAUCGUAAUUGAAGAGGUUUGGAAAGACCCACCACAGAAGGUAAUAGUCCUGUAUGUUAAACGAGAAGACUUUAGAUAUGAUCCAGAGUACCACGGGACACGUGAAACCCUGUGGGAAGCAGGAGGGACCACCCUCCAAGGCUAAAUACUACCUAGUGACCGAUAGCGUAUAGUACCGUGAGGGAAAGGUGAAAAGAACCCCGGGAGGGGAGUGAAAUAGAACCUGAAACCCUGCACUUACAAGCUGUGGAAGCACAUUUCUUGUGUGACCGCGUACUUUUUGUAGAACGGGCCAACGAGUUACGUUAAGUAGCAAGGUUAAGCACUUAAGGUGUGGAGCCGUAGCGAAAGCGAGUUUUAACUGAGCGUUCAGUUACUUGACGUAGACCCGAAACCGGGCGACCUACCCAUGAGCAGGAUGAAGCGAAAGUAAAAUUUCGUGGAGGUCCGAACCCACGAGCGUUGAAAAGCUCGGGGAGGACUUGUGGGUAGCGGUGAAAUUCCAAUCGAG
This 670-nucleotide ribosomal RNA is filed under the name Clostridioides difficile. RNAcentral describes it as "bacterial LSU rRNA". It matches the Rfam family "Bacterial large subunit ribosomal RNA", at positions 163 to 837 of the family's 2925-position model. Lineage: Bacteria; Bacillati; Bacillota; Clostridia; Peptostreptococcales; Peptostreptococcaceae. The record is from RNAcentral.